AAAUGGGCCUAAUUCUUCCACAUAUAUCAUAUGGAGGUAACAAAGACUUGUGAGAAAGAGAUCUCUCUCAAGCCCUUCCUGCACCAGAGGUGGGCUCCCACGUGU
This 105-nucleotide small nucleolar RNA is filed under the name Carlito syrichta (Philippine tarsier). RNAcentral describes it as "Small nucleolar RNA SNORA12 (ENSTSYG00000024674.2)". It matches the Rfam family "Small nucleolar RNA SNORA12", at positions 42 to 148 of the family's 148-position model. Rfam says of the family: U108 belongs to the H/ACA family of snoRNAs. The sequence is predicted to guide the pseudouridylation of the U372 residue in the 28S rRNA subunit. The record is from RNAcentral. Lineage: Eukaryota; Metazoa; Chordata; Mammalia; Primates; Tarsiidae.